RNAcentral lists this ribosomal RNA (28 nucleotides) under Leptasterias aleutica. RNAcentral's name for it is "partial 16S ribosomal RNA". RNAcentral also lists the same sequence under 1 other name. Lineage: Eukaryota; Metazoa; Echinodermata; Asteroidea; Forcipulatida; Asteriidae. The record is from RNAcentral.
UUUAAAAAAAAGUGCCUUAAAAAACUAC